This 68-nucleotide transfer RNA is filed under the name Marmota monax (woodchuck). Its description in RNAcentral is "tRNA.Ala". The record is from RNAcentral. Lineage: Eukaryota; Metazoa; Chordata; Mammalia; Rodentia; Sciuridae.
GUGGUGGCUCAGCGGCAGAGCGCUUGCCUAGCAUGUGCAAGGUACUGAGUUUGAUCCUCAGCAACACA